GGGGCAUUAGUUCAGCGGUAGAACAAAGGACUCUUAAUCCUUGUGUCACUGGUUCGAUUCCAGUAUGCCCCACCA
RNAcentral lists this transfer RNA (75 nucleotides) under Candidatus Berkelbacteria bacterium. RNAcentral's name for it is "tRNA-Lys". It matches the Rfam family "tRNA". Rfam says of the family: Transfer RNA (tRNA) molecules are approximately 80 nucleotides in length. Their secondary structure includes four short double-helical elements and three loops (D, anti-codon, and T loops). Lineage: Bacteria; Candidatus Berkelbacteria. The record is from RNAcentral.